UUUGUAAACUUGAACUCUAAUUGAUGUUAGUUUGGGGUUUUAUUUUUGUCUUGUUUUUUAGGGUGAAAUCAGAAAUUUUUGUUAUUAAUACCCUAAUCUUUAAGAUUUGAUGAAUGAAUCAGAUUAGUACCUGAUUAAACAAAAAUUAAAAGAGCAGGAGUAAAGUUGUGUUUAAACUGUAAGAGUAUUGGCAGGUUCUUAAAUUAUCUUUGGAGGUUGAGUAGUAAUUGAGAGCCCUCAUUAACAACUUUUACUGUGGGCGCAUGUAUGAUCGUUUAUUUUAUUCUUAAGGAUUGUAAUUUUAGAUGAGCUUGUUUCUGUUAAAAUAGAUAGAUAUUUGGUUUAUGUAGAAGAUUUAAUUUGACCUACAAUAUAUUAUUUUGUGGAUACUUUGCUAGUAGAAAGUUGAAAAUGUAAAAGACAGUAAGUUCUUUUUUAUGUAGAUCUGAAGUUUAUUUAAGAACGGUACAAAUCAUCCAUCAAUUGCCUAUA
Molecule: ribosomal RNA, 492 nt
Filed under: Baylisascaris devosi
Lineage: Eukaryota; Metazoa; Nematoda; Chromadorea; Rhabditida; Ascarididae
Description: partial small subunit ribosomal RNA
Source: RNAcentral